RNAcentral lists this ribosomal RNA (431 nucleotides) under uncultured bacterium. RNAcentral describes it as "partial 16S ribosomal RNA". It matches the Rfam family "Bacterial small subunit ribosomal RNA", at positions 29 to 507 of the family's 1533-position model. The record is from RNAcentral.
AACGAACGCUGGCGGCAGGCUUAACACAUGCAAGUCGAGCGCACCGCAAGGUGAGCGGCAGACGGGUGAGUAACGCGUGGGAAUCUAUCCAACCCUACGGAAUAACCCAGGGAAACUUGGACUAAUACCGUAUACGCCCUUUUGGGGAAAGAUUUAUCGGGGAUGGAUGAGCCCGCGUUGGAUUAGCUAGUUGGUGGGGUAAAGGCCUACCAAGGCGACGAUCCAUAGCUGGUCUGAGAGGAUGAUCAGCCACAUUGGGACUGAGACACGGCCCAAACUCCUACGGGAGGCAGCAGUGGGGAAUAUUGGACAAUGGGCGCAAGCCUGAUCCAGCCAUGCCGCGUGAGUGAUGAAGGCCUUAGGGUUGUAAAGCUCUUUCAGUAGGGAAGAUAAUGACGGUACCUACAGAAGAAGCCCCGGCUAACUUCGUG